UCGCGACCCCAGGUCAGGCGG
RNAcentral lists this ribosomal RNA (21 nucleotides) under Murraya koenigii. RNAcentral's name for it is "Bergera koenigii partial 26S ribosomal RNA". The record is from RNAcentral. Lineage: Eukaryota; Viridiplantae; Streptophyta; Magnoliopsida; Sapindales; Rutaceae. RNAcentral also lists the same sequence under 3 other names.